This 253-nucleotide ribosomal RNA is filed under the name uncultured bacterium. RNAcentral's name for it is "partial 16S ribosomal RNA". It matches the Rfam family "Bacterial small subunit ribosomal RNA", at positions 524 to 776 of the family's 1533-position model. The record is from RNAcentral.
GACAGAGGCCUCGAGCGUUAGGCGGAAUCACUGGGCUUAAAGCGCGUGUAGGCGGAUCGUUAAGUGCCUUGUGAAAUCCUGCGGCUCAACCGCAGAACCGCUGGGCAUACUGGCGGUCUUGGGCCACUCAGGGGUCACUGGAACAAGCGGUGGAGCGGUGAAAUGCGUAGAUAUCGCUUGGAACGCCAAAGGCGAAGACAGGUGACUGGGGGUGUGCCGACGCUGAGACGCGAAAGCCAGGGGAGCAAACGGG